This is a long non-coding RNA of Danio aesculapii, 413 nucleotides long. RefSeq lists it as uncharacterized. Lineage: Eukaryota; Metazoa; Chordata; Actinopteri; Cypriniformes; Danionidae. The transcript is spliced from 2 exons. The record is from RefSeq and is a predicted model, not a curated record.
UGUAAUAGGCUGAAUGAGUGGGUCUUACAAACCAUUCACCUUUACUUCCAGAGAACUGUAUUUUCUCUUACUGACUUGUCUUUUUUCACUCUGUUUUUCUCAUAAGUUUCCUUUAUGCAAUAGUGAGAGUGUGAGUAGGCUACUCCAUAUUCUCUCCUCUCUCUCUGGAUUCUUUGCAACACAUGUGGAAUUACAGCCUGAUACCAGAAAGAGGAACGUCUGGUUGCUGAAUGGUCAAACUGUCAAGGCGACACCAUAUAAAUCAAGAGGGUUGGGAUUAGAUAUUGUGCGAAAGACAGUAUAAAAGCAUGAAGGAGAGCCUUAAAAAGAGCUGAACUGAGGUUACAUCUCUUCUGCGCAGAACUUGUGCUCUCUAACUUCUUGCAUUCAAAAUAAAACUUCUUAAUUUUCAA